CCCCUUACCGCAUACAGAGCCAUAUAUGGACGACGAAGUUUAUGAAUUUUUUAUAGGCUAACUAUAAACAAUAUCUAAAAAAACUACCUUACAUCUUAAACAGCAUUUCAUCGAGAAUUGGAAUGUAAUUAAUUUAUACAGUGUAAAUAUUAUCCAUCAGAUAUAUUAUAGAUUUAGUCUAGCGCGUGCGACGGUUUGGGUGCGCGGAAAAAACCGUGAUUUUCAAAUUAAGAUUUCAAUAUCAAAAAGCCAUAUAUGACAGAAAAAAUACAACAAACACUGCAUACGAGUCCAUAUAUGGCGCCGUUAUAUAUUUUCUAUAAUAUAAGUAAAUAAUUUUUUUUCUCAAUUUGAUCUCAUAAUGUAAGGUCUAAUAAACACUUUUUUGCAAAAAAA
Molecule: long non-coding RNA, 396 nt
Organism: Colias croceus (clouded yellow)
Lineage: Eukaryota; Metazoa; Arthropoda; Insecta; Lepidoptera; Pieridae
Exons: 2
Source: RefSeq, a predicted model, not a curated record